This 253-nucleotide ribosomal RNA is filed under the name uncultured bacterium. RNAcentral describes it as "partial 16S ribosomal RNA". It matches the Rfam family "Bacterial small subunit ribosomal RNA", at positions 524 to 776 of the family's 1533-position model. The record is from RNAcentral.
UACAGAGGGGGCAAGCGUUGUUCGGAAUUACUGGGCGUAAAGCGUACGUAGGCGGCUUUGUAAGUUAGAGGUGAAAGCCCGGGGCUCAACUCCGGAAUUGCCUUUAAGACUGCAUCGCUUGAAUCAUGGAGAGGUGAGUGGAAUUCCGAGUGUAGAGGUGAAAUUCGUAGAUAUUCGCAAGAACACCAGUGGCGAAGGCGGCUGACUGGUCCGGUUCUGACACUGAGGUGCGAAAGCGUGGGGAGCAAACAGG